Molecule: small nuclear RNA, 184 nt
Organism: Pseudophryne corroboree (corroboree frog)
Lineage: Eukaryota; Metazoa; Chordata; Amphibia; Anura; Myobatrachidae
Product: U2 spliceosomal RNA
Exons: 1
Source: RefSeq, a predicted model, not a curated record
CUCACUGAUGUGAUGUCACAGUAGUAUCUGUUCUUAUCAGUUUAAUAUCUGAUAUGUCCCCUAUCUGGGUGCCAUAUAUUAAAUGGAUUUUUUUUAUCAGGGAGAUGGAAGAAGAGCUUGCUCUGUCCACUGCACGCAUUGGUGCUUGGGCUCGGUUGUUAGCUAGAUCAGUAGAGCAUGGCUC